UAUUGGACAAUGGGGGCAACCCUGAUCCAGCCAUGCCGCGUGAGUGAUGAAGGCCUUCGGGUUGUAAAGCUCUUUUGGCGGGGACGAUGAUGACGGUACCCGCAGAAUAAGCCCCGGCUAACUUCGUGCCAGCAGCCGCGGUAAGACGAAGGGGGCUAGCGUUGUUCGGAAUUACUGGGCGUAAAGCGCGUGUAGGCGGUUUUCCAAGUUGGGUGUGAAAGCCUUGGGCUUAACCCAAGAAAUGCACUCAGUACUGGAAGACUAGAGGACCGGAGAGGAUAGUGGAAUUCCCAGUGUAGUGGUGAAAUACGUAGAGAUUGGGAAGAACACCAGUGGCGAAGGCGGCUAUCUGGACGGUUCUGACGCUAAGACGCGAAA
RNAcentral lists this ribosomal RNA (378 nucleotides) under uncultured bacterium. RNAcentral describes it as "bacterial SSU rRNA". It matches the Rfam family "Bacterial small subunit ribosomal RNA", at positions 362 to 758 of the family's 1533-position model. The record is from RNAcentral.